AGAAAUGGGACAUGCGGUAAACGGUGGAUGCCUUGACAUCAUGCAGCGAAGAAGGGCGUGGCGUAGCUGCGAUAAGCCCCGGGUAGGUGUGUAGCAACCUGCGAUCCGGGGAUUCCCGAAUGGGGAAACCCGAUGCUGUGAACCAGCAUCGCGCUCCGCUUGACGGAGCGCGCAGACCCGGUGAAGUGAAACAUCUCAGUAACCGGAGGAAAAGAAAUCAAGUCAGAGAUUCCCUUAUUAGUGGCGAGCGAACGGGGAAGUGCCUAAACCCAUCUUUCGAGGUGGGGGUUGCAGGGCCGAGCGUGUGCCUUGCCGGAAACGAUAGCCGAAGACUCUGGAAAGAGUCACCACAGAAGGUGACAGUCCUGUAGGCGAAAUCGGAUUACGGCGGGGUGCUCGGUUCCUAAGUACUUCGAGAACAGAAAGUCUCGAGGGAAGCUGGGAGGACUACCUUCCAAGGCAAAAUAUGCAUGAUGAUCGAUAGUGAACAAGUACCGUGAGGGAAAGGUGAAAAGCAGCCCGGUGAGGGCGGUGAAAUAGUACCUGAAACCGUUUACCUACAAGCAGUUGGAGCCUCGCUUCGGCGGGGUGACAGCGUGCCUAUUGAAGAAUGAGCCAACGAGUUUAUCUAUACGGCUUGGUUAAGCCUUACGGGGUGGAGCCGAAGGGAAACCGAGUGUUAAUAGCGCGUUUGUCGUAUGGAUAAGACCCGAAGCCAGGCGAGCUUACCUUGGCCAGGGUGAGCUCCGACGAAAGUCGGAGGGAAGCCCGAACCGGUUGGCUGUGCAAAACCUUCGGAUGAGCUGAGGUAAGAAGUGAAAAGCUUAUCGAGCCUGGUAAUAGCUGGUUCUCUCCGAAACAACUUUCGGGUUGGCGUCGGUUAAUAGAUUUCUGGGGGUAGAGUUACUGGUUGGGAAAGACAGGGCGCAAGCUCGCUUUCCCAGUCAAACUCCGAAUACCGGAAAUUGUUUACCGGCAGUUAGACUGUGGGGGCUAAGCUCCAUGGUCGAGAGGGGAAGAGCCCAGAUCGCCGUCUAAGGUCCCCAAAUUACUGCUCAGUGUGAAAGGUUGUUGAUGUGCUGGAACAGAUAGGAGGUUGGCUCAGAAGCAGCCAUCCUUUAAAGAGUGCGUAACAGCUCACUAUUCGAGCGCAUCUGCGCCGAAGAUUUAUCGGGGCUAAGCAGUAUACCGAAGACGCGAAUACUUUGUGCUUCGCACAGAGACGCAGAUAUAUGCGGAUUAAGUUGAUUGAUGCAGAUAUGCUUAAAAACUAUCUGUAUGAGUCUGCCCUAUCGGCAUUAAUCGGCGUCUUUGCGCGAAGCAUGAGGUAUGGUAGGAGAGCAUUUCCAUUGCGGUGAAGUCUUGCCGUGAGACAAGGUGGAGCGAUGGGAAGAGAGAAUGUUGGCAUAAGUAAUCGCAUGUCCGGUGAAAAACCGGUCCCCCGCAAGUCCAAGGAUUCCUCCGCAACGUAAAUCGACGGAGGGUUAGGCGGUCCUAAGGCGAUGGUGAAAACCGCAGCUAAUGGACAGCAGGUUAAUAUUCCUGCCCGCCGUUUGUGAGAUGCCGAUGUGGUGACGAAGGAAAUAAACGUGAACGCCUUAUUGGUUUGGCGUUCUUUGCGACAAGAGGCGGUUUCUAGGCAAAUCCGGAAACCGGGUUUCAGUACCAGUCUCGGUCGCCGAGGAAAGAUUGCGUUCGCGCAGUCAAUUCGCGUGAAGAGCCUUCCGAGAAAAACCACUAAGGCGCGCUCAAACGGCUCCGUACCGUAAACCGCCACAGGUGGACGAGGCGAGUAGCCUCAGGGGAACGAGUGAGUCUUCGCUAAGGAACUAGGCAAAAAAGCGGCCGUAACUUCGGGAUAAGGCCUACCCGCAUAGCCCGCAAGGGCGACGUGGGUCGCAGCUAAAGAUUUUCUGGCGACUGUUUAUCAAAAACACAGGUCCCUGCUAACUCGCAAGAGGAUGUAUAGGGGCUGACGCCUGACCGAUGCGAGAAGGUUAACGGUGGGGGUGUUCUGACGCAAGUUGGAAUGCUCACUGCCCGAAGCCCUCGUCAAUGUCAGCGGUAACUAUAACCGUUCUAAGGUAGCGCAAUUCCUUUCCGGGUAAGUUCCGGAGCGCACGAAAGGCGUAACGACUGGAAAACUGUCUCAGCGAAGAGCUCGAUGAAAAUACAAUUGCCGUGAAGAUGCGGCAUACUGGCAGCAGGACGGAAAGACCCCGGGAGCUUUACUAUAGCUUGGCAUUGAUGCUUGUGCGUGGUUGCAAAGUGUAGCAGGGAGGCGUUGAAGGUCCGAUUCCGGUCGGGCUGGAGCCGUCAAUGGAACACCUGCCUUCUUCGUGCUUGUGUCUAACCCUGACGGAAAAAACGGCAGGGGACCGUGCCUGGUGGGUAGUUUAGGUGGGGCGCUUUCCUCCAAAAGAGUAACGGAGGAGUCUAUUAAGGUUGGCUUUCCGCCGAUGGAAAUGGCGGAUGAAGUGCAAAGGCAAAAGCCAGCUUGACUGUGAGGCGGACAUGCCGCGCAGGUGCGAAAGCAGAGCUUAGCGACCCGACGAUUCUUAGUAGAACGGUCGGAGAUAUCGGAUAAAAGUUACCCCGGGGAUAACAGGCUAGUCGCGCCUGAGCGUUCACAGCGACGGCGCGGUUCGGCACCUCGAUGUCGGCUCAUCACAUCCUGGGACUGGAGAAGGCCCCAAGGGUUUGGCUGUACGCCAAUUAAAGUGAUACGUGAGCUGGGUUCAAACCGUCGUGAGACAGGUUGGUCCCCUAUCCGCUGUCAGCGCGAGACGUUUGAGGGAAGUUGGCCACAGUACGAGAGGACCUGGCUGAACGAACCUCUGGUGUACCGGCUUUGCCACCAGGUGAAACGCCGGGUAGCUAUGUUCGGCGGGGAUAAGCGCUGAAAGCAUCUAAGCGCGAAGCCCCUCCCAAGAUGAGACGUCUUGUCCCGCUUCGGCGGGACGUGAGGUCCUAAGAGAUGAUUAGGUUGAUAGGCUCUAGGUGUAAGCUCCGUAAGGAGUUCAGCCGAGGAGUACUAAUACCUCAAAUCUCAUUUCUUU
Non-coding RNA from Candidatus Jorgensenbacteria bacterium GWA1_54_12, 3059 nucleotides. The record is from Rfam. NCBI's taxonomy places the organism in Bacteria, Candidatus Joergenseniibacteriota.